GAAGGGUUCCAUGUGAACAGCAGUUGGACAUGGGUUAGUCGUUCCUAAGAGACAAGGAUGUUCCGCACACGCAGGCUUUGCCUCGUCUCUUGAAAGGGAAUGGGGUUAAUAUUCCCCAACCAGGACGUGGAUACUGUAUGGCAACGUAAGAGAAUUCGGUGACGCAGGAGGGAGCCUUGGGAAGCGUUGUCUUUUCUUUUUAACCGUCUCUUACCCUGGAAUCAGAUUGCCUGGAGAUAGGGUUAAUUGGCGGGUAAAGCACCUUGUCUUCCGAGGUGUCCGGUGCGCUCUCUACUGUCCUUGAAAAGCC
This 310-nucleotide ribosomal RNA is filed under the name Mucochytrium quahogii. RNAcentral's name for it is "labyrinthulid quahog parasite QPX partial Eukaryotic large subunit ribosomal RNA". It matches the Rfam family "Eukaryotic large subunit ribosomal RNA", at positions 1501 to 1814 of the family's 3401-position model. The record is from RNAcentral. Lineage: Eukaryota; Bigyra; Thraustochytrida; Thraustochytriidae.